This 2899-nucleotide long non-coding RNA is filed under the name Varroa destructor (honeybee mite). RNAcentral's name for it is "uncharacterized LOC111244858, transcript variant X2". Lineage: Eukaryota; Metazoa; Arthropoda; Arachnida; Mesostigmata; Varroidae. The record is from RNAcentral.
CCGACAAUAAGGGCCAUUUGCCUCAGUUACUAGAAAGCUAAUAAUAGGAACAGACCGAUUUCGACCAUAUUAUAUUCGACCACUUUUUCCUAGUACCUUUAAUGGACAUUUACUAAAGAUAAACCUAGCGUUUACCUAUAUGUUUCAAGGGCUAUAGAUGAAUUCGCUAAAACUAUCCAAACGCUCCCCGGUAAGUCAUGUUUACAUGUUUUUGUUUUACGCAAUAGAUUGCUUUUUUUGGGGUCUUCUUCUUCUGCUUCGAGAACGGUUUCCUACAGUUAAGCCCUUCAUGGAAUUAGAUAAAAGCGUUUUUGUGACUGGGAGCAACUGUUCGUAGCACGUAGAGCGUUAUUACGCAAAAGGUCGCUCUGACAUUUUCUAUUAGACAUGACGCAUAGUGCGUUAUACUCAUAUGGAACGCCUAUCCAUGUUCCUGUUUCUCGUCCUUCUCAGUUGGUUUUUAGUUUUUUCGAAAAUCGCAAGAACACAGUAUCUCCUCGCAUCUUCCUACCUUCGCACCUAGGUCACGCCGCUCUGGUUAAAUCCUGUCGCCUGGCGUAAGCAAAUUACUGUUACAACGGUGUCCGACUGUGGGGAAUCUCGUCAUACCCGAAGUAGAAGCAUUUCGAUGGAAUCACCCAGCUAAAGUUCUCAAAUGCUUGCGCCUACCGCUUUAUGUCGAUGGUGAAACCAACGAAAGUCCGAAAAAGCGAAAAGAAGGCCAAUCUAUCCUGGAUCGAUUUCAUUGUUCAUUUACAUGAUUCUUUUCCCCAUGUAGCUAUUUCGCCAGUUGAGCAUCUGUCUCGCUUCCGCAAGAGGUAUUGACUUUUGUAGAGCGACACGUUCCAGCUUUAGAAGACAAAGAUCAUCAAAUGGCGCGGGCGAGAUGUGCCGUCAGGAGCCAUUGCAGGACAAAUGGGCUAGAGGAUUUUUUUUCUAAAUAAAGUUUGUUUUUAUUUCACGUGAAACAGGUACGUAUUAUAGAUAAGUUAUUAGCAAAUUUGAACUAGAGGUCCAAUCAAUCAAACUUUGACAGCUAUCCAUGACGACUAUUUAUUGAAUUUAAUGGCCGUUUGUAAUAUAAUCAAUGGUCGUAGGAUAUUGUCAUGUGAGCACAUAAAAUCUGCGCGUAAUGUGUUAUGGUAACACUAGCACAACUAUAGGGGUGCAAGAGCGAGCACUCUUUUCGUUCUCGUUAAAAAUUGCGCGUAUAUAAUGUUAAGAUUCUAAAAAUAUGCAACAUAGAUAAACAAAGGAAACAACAAAAGUCCAAGUUUCCACUUUACCACUUCUUUAUUAUCAAGCAUGUGAUAGUUGUUUAGUGAUAAUACAUCAUUUAAUUACUUUUUUAUUAUUAAAAAACAUAUACCAUGUUCAUCAUUACCACUGUUUUGCCUAGUAUCAAAAUCAAUAACAAUACAGGUUACGACUCGCCCGGAUUCACAAUCCCGCCAGCCCUACACAGUCUUCUGCUCGGGCUCCUCCUGAUGCCUCGUCCUGCGUUACUCUAAUACGAUCAGUAAGUCAGCAAUGCAAACCAUUCAUUAGAAUUAAUAGAAGAGGAAGCUUCAAAGCUAAAUCAGCGGGCAAAACUGCUACAGUGGUACCCGAUGACGACACCUUGCAGCUAUUGCUGUUGUUACAGAUAUGUAGACGUACAAACUAACAAAAACCGCUUCCCGUCAACUGUAAAUAAAAUAAAUGAGACGUUCUGUACAUCGGCGGGGCGAGCUGUAAGGACAAACAGGACAAAAAAGCCAGUACCCAAUAGCCGGGUCGACCUGAACGUUUGCCGUAUGCGAGUGCAACGCGCCAUUGAACGUGGGGCGUGCUAUGUGUUUGAUGCGUUCGGACUUUGGGACGACGCUUAGCAAAAUAUUUGGCUCAGAUAAUGCACCAAAGUAAUUUGAUGUGAGUAAGAACACAUCGAAGUGAGCCGCAUGCACCAGCCAGUUACUUGACUCAGUAAUACUUAUUGGGCCACGACUUGUUUACCCCACGAGAUAUAGACCUUGAACCACUUUUGCCCUACCCUGUAUGUAUACAUAUACUAUGUAUGUAUACUUUCAAUCUUCUUUGGUCCCGGCAUCUGGUAUCGAUGAUGCCAUUGUUUUGACAUAUAGGCACCGCUUAAUUCAAUUAUGGUCUUGUAUCGGUGAGCCAGUGUAUUCGGACUGUGCUAAUGGAAGUAAUAUAACGAUAAGCCGGCGACGUCGAUAAAAUACGUUAUGGCAACGAGAAGGGGCUUCGUUCAUGUUGACGUUUACUACAUCUAAUGUAAAUAAGAACAGAUUAUCGCAUAGCGGACUAAAUAAAACAUCAGUCGUAGCGCAGAGGAGCGACGUCAACAUUCAGCGACGCCAUUAUGCUUUAGCGUAACUUCUUAGAGGUCCCCGAUGAAAAGACGGUUGUCCGCACCUACGAAAGAUAUUCUUCAGGUCGCAAACCUACGCUUCGUGAUGCUGCGAUUCGUAGAAAGAAGGACCAACAAAUGGUGAAUAGUAAUGAGGAGAGAGUGAAAGCAAGGGACGCAAAGACUUCGUCGUAAGUGCUUCGUGUUAAUGGAGGGAAGUUGGGCAGGCGUCUGUGAGCGGGAAUGUGGCCCGUCGACGAACGAAAACAACGAACGAUUGCUUAUCCGGUUUUUCCAAAGCGGUAACGUGUUGGCAUCGUAUGACUCGUACGUGCUGCUUCGCACCGGAGGAAGUGCUGUGAAGCACUCCAAGAAACCAAAGCCUUGGCUUCGGGACGCCUUCGGGAUCUAUCAGCCACAAUAGUUCGUCCACGUAGAAAACUGAAGGAUGAAAGAGCGCACGUUACGAUACGGAGUGGAACUUGGCAAACCCAAACGCCUGAAUAACAAUUCAUCGCAAUGAAAAAUUCGAUUAGCCCGAGAGGG